RNAcentral lists this ribosomal RNA (510 nucleotides) under uncultured bacterium. Its description in RNAcentral is "partial 16S ribosomal RNA". It matches the Rfam family "Bacterial small subunit ribosomal RNA", at positions 28 to 507 of the family's 1533-position model. The record is from RNAcentral.
GACGAACGCUGGCGGCGUGCUUAACACAUGCAAGUCGAACGAAGAGCGAUGGAAGCUUGCUUCUAUCAAUCUUAGUGGCGAACGGGUGAGUAACGCGUAAUCAACCUGCCCUUCAGAGGGGGACAACAGUUGGAAACGACUGCUAAUACCGCAUACGAUCUAAUCUCGGCAUCGAGGAAAGAUGAAAGGUGGCCUCUAUUUAUAAGCUAUCACUGAAGGAGGGGAUUGCGUCUGAUUAACUAGUUGGAGGGGUAACGGCCCACCAAGGCGAUGAUCAGUAGCCGGUCUGAGAGGAUGAACGGCCACAUUGGGACUGAGACACGGCCCAGACUCCUACGGGAGGCAGCAGUGGGGAAUCUUCCGCAAUGGACGAAAGUCUGACGGAGCAACGCCGCGUGAGUGAUGACGGCCUUCGGGUUGUAAAGCUCUGUUAAUCGGGACGAAAGGCCUUCUUGCGAACAGUUAGAAGGAUUGACGGUACCGGAAUAGAAAGCCACGGCUAACUACGUG